Molecule: long non-coding RNA, 1289 nt
Organism: Brassica napus (rape)
Lineage: Eukaryota; Viridiplantae; Streptophyta; Magnoliopsida; Brassicales; Brassicaceae
Exons: 4
Source: RefSeq, a predicted model, not a curated record
GCGCGAGACACGUGUGUUCUUCUCUCCUCUGCGUUCGGCGGCCACAGUGACGCCUGAGCUUUCUUCACAAUUUCUGAAACGGUGUGCGUGAAUGUAAGUUAAUAUUAACUCAUUCAGUGCAUCUCUUCUUCUUCAAGACAAUGAAUCUGCAACUAUAAAUAGUUGGAGUGAAAGCUCAUGGGCUAGCGAAGAAGAUUGGUUUCUUCCCGGCAGUUAGGGAGGAGACGGUGACUGUUUUAAGACCACCGUAGUGGGAUCGAGCUAGGAGAGAGUGGACUCAGGGAGUUUGAGAUGGUGGUUGAGGGAGAGAUUAGGAGAGAGGCCAUGUUUAUGGAGGUCGGGAAGAGGAAUGGUUUGACAGAAUAUGGUGUUACAUAUCCUGGUGUAACUGAGCAGUCGUGUCUUAUCCUUUGGUCUCCACAUACCGGCGAAAGAAAUCCGGAGACGUUAAACAAGUGCGUUGAGUCCAAACGUCGUCUAUAACACCAUCAUUAACAACAACUUCCCAGUCCUCUGAUGAUCUCUGCAUUUUUGGGAAGCAAAUAAUGUGAAUAAGGGUGGUGAUCUCAUGGCUGUUUAUAUUGCUUUGGUGGAUGAGAAGGUUCUCAGAGAGAAGACCAGUUUUGUUGAGAUUGCAGAAAGCAUUAACCCUAUCCCUACGUUGAAUCUUUCUUUGUAGUUACAACAUGGUCAACUCUAGGACAAGAGAAACAAGAGCACAUGUGACUCCUUCUUGGCAUGUACUUUGAAUCAUUGCCACUUCUUAGGAUUUCUCACGCACACAUCAGAGAUAUUUUUGUGUUGCAAUUGGCAGAGGAAAACAAGCCUGCUAAAACAUAAGGUACUGUGAAUGUGUUUGCUACAAUCGUACUAUGGCAUUAUGUGUGGUCUGAAGCUGUUAUAACUAACUUCACAAGGGACCCGACAAGUAGCUUAUGAAACCACGAAGAGCUUCUACGGUUAAUGGGAUUGAUGAUACUGAUUCACAUAAUAAAUGGAGUUAUAGCUUUAAUUACAAUAAUGAUGAUGACACCAGGUGGAAGAAGGCAUAAAGCCAACUAUUGCUCCGAGAACGGUGAAGAACUUGAAAUGUUAUCUGUGUUUCUCUUCUUUUUUUUCUUCUUUUUUUUUCGUUUUUUUCUGGGAAAGGGCUUUAGUAUCUGUGUUUCGUUUUUUGGUGUUUAUUUCUUAUGACUCUUAUUUGAUGCCAAGUGUACGUAAUCGUAAUUGCUCUGUUGACAUAUACAUUUGUCUGAGUUCAUUCAUUCUUAUACAUUUUUAUGAGUUCA